RNAcentral lists this ribosomal RNA (508 nucleotides) under uncultured bacterium. RNAcentral describes it as "partial 16S ribosomal RNA". It matches the Rfam family "Bacterial small subunit ribosomal RNA", at positions 28 to 507 of the family's 1533-position model. The record is from RNAcentral.
GACGAACGCUGGCGGCGUGCCUAAUACAUGCAAGUCGAGCGCAGGAAGUCAUCCGAACCCUUUGGGGGGACGUUGACGGAAUGAGCGGCGGACGGGCGAGUAACACGUAAAGAACCUGCCCUCAGGUCUGGGAUAACCACGAGAAAUCGGGGCUAAUACCGGAUGGGUCAUCGGACCGCACGGGCCGAGGAUGACAGGCGCUCCGGCGCCGCCUUGGGAUGGCUUUGCGGUGCGUUUGCUAGUUGGGGGGGUAAUGGCACAACAAGGCGACGAUGCAUAGCCGACCUGCGUGGGUGAUCGGCCACACUGGCACUGAGACACGGCCCCGACUCCUUCGGGAGGCACCAGUAGGGAAUCUUCCACAAGGGACGAAAGUCUGAUAGAGCAACGCCGCGUGAACGAUGAAGGCCCACGGGUCGUAAAGUUCUGUUGUAAGGGAAGAACAAGUGCCGCAGGCAAUGGCGGCACCUUGACGUUCCCUUGCGAGAAAGCCAGCGCUAGAUACGUG